CUUAGAGUAAUGUCUAAGUAUCAUUAAGUGAAUACAUAGCUUAAUGAGGGGAACUCAGGGAACUGAAACAUCUAAGUACCUGAAGGAAGAGAAAGAAAUUCGAUUCCGUAAGUAGCGGCGAGCGAACGCGGAUUAGCCCAAACCAAUAAAGUUUUCUUUAUUGGGGUUGCGGACAUAUCAUAACGAAGAGGUAUCGUAAUUGAAGAGGUUUGGAAAGACCUACCACAGAAGGUAAUAGUCCUGUAUGUUAAACGAGAAGACUUUAGAUAUGAUCCAGAGUACCACGGGACACGUGAAACCCUGUGGGAAGCAGGAGGGACCACCCUCCAAGGCUAAAUACUACCUAGUGACCGAUAGCGUAUAGUACCGUGAGGGAAAGGUGAAAAGAACCCCGGGAGGGGAGUGAAAUAGAACCUGAAACCCUGCACUUACAAGCUGUGGAAGCACAUUUCUUGUGUGACCGCGUACUUUUUGUAGAACGGGCCAACGAGUUACGUUAAGUAGCAAGGUUAAGCACUUAAGGUGCGGAGCCGUAGCGAAAGCGAGUUUUAACUGAGCGUUCAGUUACUUGACGUAGACCCGAAACCGGGCGACCUACCCAUGAGCAGGAUGAAGCGAAAGUAAAAUUUCGUGGAGGUCCGAACCCACGAGCGUUGAAAAGCUCGGGGAUGACUUGUGGGUAGCGGUGAAAUUCCAAUCGAGCCCGGAGAUAGCUGGUUCUCCCCGAAA
RNAcentral lists this ribosomal RNA (729 nucleotides) under Clostridioides difficile. Its description in RNAcentral is "partial 23S ribosomal RNA". It matches the Rfam family "Bacterial large subunit ribosomal RNA", at positions 131 to 864 of the family's 2925-position model. Lineage: Bacteria; Bacillati; Bacillota; Clostridia; Peptostreptococcales; Peptostreptococcaceae. The record is from RNAcentral.